UCACGUUGGCCACUGAAGUGGCCUAUUGCAGUUUAUGGGUUUACCACGACAUUCUACAUAAACAAAAGGAAGAUAACCUACGUUAUAGUAAUUCUAUGUAAACCACGUGCUAAUGGUUUACUAAGUGUCCAGCUAAAUGUAAAUAUUUACAUAUCCUGCUUUCAAGUCAUACUGGAGCACCACCUCAAAGGGUUUUAGUCAAACAAAUCGACCUGAGGACUUAUUCUUUCUUCGAUCACUGUUCUUCUUCCAUCUUGCACACUAGCAACCAACACCUUAACAACAACCGUUACAAUUGGUGACCACUGAUUCGAUCUUAACAAUACCGUUAAAAUUGGUGACCCUCGACUGCAACGAAGAACUAACCGUUACAUAUAUAUAUAUAUAGGAACCUGGCAGGCGUGAAGUUGAUUGGAUUUAUAACCGUUAUAUAUAUAUAUAUAUAUAUAUAUAUAUGAAUAAAUGUGUAGCGUACACUUGAGUGAAAUUCCUCUCCUCUCUAUUAUAUAUACAUACAUACGAACGUAGUAGAUAACAGCUAGCCUUUGGUUGCAUUUUAGACCUUGUUGUGUCCACUACUCUGAUUGGUUGGUAUUUGCGCAAUUUGUCUCUUGCUUUAUCGCGCGCCAAUUUGAAACCCAACCAAUUGCAGCCUUCAAAUAAGGUCACGUGUGACAGCCUGUUUUUCUACCUCAGCUGAGCCUGCAACUCCUUAUGUUUUUUGGUUCCAGACCUUUUAAGGUCUCGCCACUGACAACAUGGAUCAACAGCGCAUAUACAACCUGCGAGAACUCUUGUACCAAGUAACCCAGGCGGCAGCAUCACAGCCACAACUUCACGUACGACAUGUACCGCAACCGGCUCUGCAUCAUCACCGCACCUUCUUGAUACAGUAUUUCAACUGUCGUGUAGAAUUGACUACGAACAGGUAUUUAUCAUUCUUGUGUCUAUGAACUUACUCCUCACUUCCAUGGCUAUAGAAUCUUUCACAGUUUCUUCUUCAUCGCCAUCCUUGUAUGUUCUUAACGUGCAUACAUCUAUGCCUACAUACACACGCAUACAUCUUAUUCUUAUGACGGCCUGUCUAUUAUUCUGUAUAUAUGACGCACACAUAAUCACACAUGUUAACAUAUCAAUAAAUCUUCUCUUAAACAUUC
Octopus bimaculoides (California two-spot octopus) is the source of this 1157-nucleotide long non-coding RNA. The record is from RefSeq and is a predicted model, not a curated record. NCBI's taxonomy places the organism in Eukaryota, Metazoa, Mollusca, Cephalopoda, Octopoda, Octopodidae.